Molecule: ribosomal RNA, 799 nt
Filed under: uncultured Planctomycetota bacterium
Lineage: Bacteria; Pseudomonadati; Planctomycetota
Description: bacterial SSU rRNA
Rfam family: Bacterial small subunit ribosomal RNA
Source: RNAcentral
AUGCAAGUCGAACGAAUCCCGGGGGGCAACUCCCGGGGGAAGUGGCGAAAGGGGCAGUAAGGCGUGGGUAACCUACCCCGGGGACGGGCAUAGCCCUCCUAACGGAGGGGUAAUUCCCGGCGAAGUGGCGGGGUCGCAUGGCCGUGCCAUGAAAUGAAUUUCGCCUCGGGAGGGGCUCACGUGGUAUUAGCUGGUUGGUGAGGUAACGGCUCACCAAGGCCGAGAUGCCUAGCGGGUGUGAGAGCACGACCCGCGCCACUGGCACUGAGACACUGGCCAGACUCCUACGGGAGGCUGCAGUCGAGGAUCUUCGGCAAUGGGCGCAAGCCUGACCGAGCGACGCCGCGUGUGCGAUGAAGGCCUUCGGGUUGUAAAGCACUGUCGAGGGGGAGGAAGCCGCAAGGUUGACCUAUCCCUGGAGGAAGCACGGGCUAAGUUCGUGCCAGCAGCCGCGGUAAGACGAACCGUGCGAACGUUGUUCGGAUUCACUGGGCUUAAAGGGCGCGUAGGCGGUCGACCAAGUCUGGGGUGAAAUCUUUCGGCUCAACCGGAAAAGUGCCCCCGAUACUGGCCGGCUAGAGGGAGAUAGGGGCAUGCGGAACUUCCGGUGGAGCGGUGAAAUGCGUAGAUAUCGGAAGGAACGCCGGUGGCGAAAGCGGCGUGCUGGAUCUCUUCUGACGCUGAGGCGCGAAAGCCAGGGGAGCAAACGGGAUUAGAUACCCCGGUAGUCCUGGCCCUAAACGAUGGGUACUGGGUAGUGGACUUGACAUGGGUUCACUGCCGCAGCCAAAGUGGUAAG